RNAcentral lists this long non-coding RNA (307 nucleotides) under Brassica rapa (field mustard). RNAcentral's name for it is "long non-coding RNA (BRAP_LNC004279)". Lineage: Eukaryota; Viridiplantae; Streptophyta; Magnoliopsida; Brassicales; Brassicaceae. The record is from RNAcentral.
AAACAUACAGCAUAAAAAAAAAUGUAAAAACUACAUUAAACAUAUGUAAUAUUACUAUUUUUCACUUAAAAAAAAAGACGGCUUAUCUCCAUAAUGUAACAUUACCGUUUUCUAAAAAAACAAAAAACAUUAUAUAUAAUUUUGAAAAUAAUAAAUAUAUGUAAAACUUACAACAUAAAAAUGGAAAUACUACAUUAAACAUAUGUAAGAUUACCAUUUUACAUUUUUAUUUUAAGAAAAUAAUAUAUAAACAUACAACAUAAAAAAUGAAAAAACUACAUUAAACAUAUGUAAGAUUACCAUUUUC